UAUAUAUUCAAGCAUGUACCACCAAUUUAAUAAGAUAAUAAAGUCAUAACUAAUACCAAAAGUAAACUGAAACUUGCUGAAGAAUUCAGUGAUAUAAAUACAGGGGAUGAGACUAACCAUACCAGGCGCAGACAGGUGAAGAAGCCCAAGCAUCUAGUUAUCGAAAGUAGUGAUGAUGAGGAACCUGAAAUACAUGAAAGGCCACCCAAAGGUUUUAUUAAGAAGAUACCAGGAAAGACUGUAAAAAGGCCCAUUGAAGAGUUGAGUGCUCACAGCCAAAUGUCCAACUGCUCUCAAACAUUAGUAUCAUCAAAUAAUGAAAAGAGUUUUGGGUGGAAUCAAAAGAGCCAAUCCCCAUACAAAGGAAAAUUCUAGAAAAUUUGGUCUUCAUUAAAGAACAGAACAAAGAAAUAUUGAACUUUUUGAAGUCUGGUUUGAUUGGGACAGGUAAUCGAAAUCAAGUAACCUACACUUCCUUUGGUUUGCCAGAAUUACCCAUAGAUUUACCCUGCACGAGUACAAAUGAGAUUAUAAAACUUGAAGAAUAUGUAUCCUUGAAGGAGAAUUUCAGUGCUUUGAACUCGUACCUCGUAUCAUUAGGUGGGAAGGAUACUUCAUCAUGUACUAAUCGUAUUCUGAGGCAAAUUUUAACAAAUUCCGCAUCUUGUUCAUUCAAUUUUUGUGGCUCUAGAAAUAAACAGGCCUUCUCAAACUUGAGGCUCAACAAAUUGAUUAUAGAUUCUGUUAAACAUGUCAUCCCCAAGGCAACAGAAAAAGAUAUUGAAGAUUCCAUAAAAGUAUGGCUGAAGCAUGCUCCUGAAAGGCUGAACAAAAAUAUGAGAAAUGAAUAGAUGUGAAAUUUCAUGAGAUGCAACGAAAAAGUGUCGUAGGUCAAAGACAAUUUUAUAGGAGAGUAACAUUAGUGUUCAGACAAUUUCAAAUGAGAUACAAAAUGAUGCAUCUAAUAAUCUUCACAUUUCUCAGUCAACUAAUAAUUUUCAUAUUUCUGAGGCACCUAAUGCCCAUAAUAAUAAUGUCCAGUCUUUUCCUCUGUGUUCAAAUAGCGUUCUUGGAGAAAAAGUUGUAGAAUUACCAGAAAAAUCUGAACUGUCUUCUAAUAAUGGAAUAGAUUAUUGUCAAUUCUCGGAUUGUGCAUUACUUUCUAGUGAAACAAGAAAUAAUCUAACCACUAAUGAUUCUGAUUUUCAAUCAAAAUUAGCUAUUUGGGCAAGUGCAAAACGUACAAUAUCGCAUACUGAUGUAAUUCAGAACUUCCGUUAGAUUGCCGAACUCUACUUCACACACCAUCAAAACAUACAAUAGAAAAACAUCUAGACAAUAAUGGUGUAUAUAUCCAUAUUGGUUUGAAAUUUGGGAUGCAAAAAUUACUUGCUGACUUAACCAAAUAUAAUUCUAUUGAGAAAAAUAUU
Molecule: long non-coding RNA, 1430 nt
Organism: Leptinotarsa decemlineata (Colorado potato beetle)
Lineage: Eukaryota; Metazoa; Arthropoda; Insecta; Coleoptera; Chrysomelidae
Source: RefSeq, a predicted model, not a curated record